GUUUGAUCAUGGCUCAGAUUGAACGCUGGCGGCAUGCCUUACACAUGCAAGUCGAACGGCAGCACGGGAGCAAUCCUGGUGGCGAGUGGCGAACGGGUGAGUAAUGUAUCGGAACGUACCUUUCAGUGGGGAAUAACGUAGCGAAAGUUACGCUAAUACCGCAUAUUCUGUGAGCAGGAAAGCAGGGGAUCGCAAGACCUUGCGCUGAUUGAGCGGCCGAUAUCAGAUUAGCUAGUUGGUGAGGUAAAGGCUCACCAAGGCGACGAUCUGUAGCGGGUCUGAGAGGAUGAUCCGCCACACUGGAACUGAGACACGGUCCAGACUCCUACGGGAGGCAGCAGUGGGGAAUUUUGGACAAUGGGCGCAAGCCUGAUCCAGCCAUGCCGCGUGAGUGAAGAAGGCCUUCGGGUUGUAAAGCUCUUUCCGCCGGGAAGAAAUCGCAUGGGUUAAUACCCUGUGCGGAUGACGGUACCGGCAUAAGAAGCACCGGCUAACUACGUGCCAGCAGCCGCGGUAAUACGUAGGGUGCGAGCGUUAAU
This 539-nucleotide ribosomal RNA is filed under the name uncultured bacterium. RNAcentral's name for it is "bacterial SSU rRNA". It matches the Rfam family "Bacterial small subunit ribosomal RNA", at positions 11 to 545 of the family's 1533-position model. The record is from RNAcentral.